UCUUUCGAAUGAUAAUAAACACUCCCCAUUAAAUAUGACUUUCCUGACCCUUUAUAUAAUUGAAUAUCGACCAUAAAAAUUUUGUAUCUUUUAAUCGGUACUACAGUGCGAAAAUACGAAAAAAAAUAAUUUUAUGUAUUCAGUACCACCCUAAUAGUAAUGUCUAUAUAUCUCAUCAACACCUCGCUAUUAAGUUUUGCGGCUUUUCAUGUAUUUAUGUGUAUCAUGAUUUUUAUAUGAGGUUGUUUCGCACUCUUCCGAAGGCAAACUGGCAUACCGUACAUUUUUCGAUUUUCCACAAAUUCACAAAUCACAUUAAAGUGUCUAAUAAGUUUAUUUCAGACUAGAUCAUAUUGAAAAGUUGAAGUGAAUUUGCAAACGUUUAUACACGGGUAUUAUGCAUUUCAACAUUUAAAGUAGACGAUGAGGGAUUAUUUCAUAUUAAUUAGUACAGUAUUGUAAGAAAAAGUGCAAAACAUACGUAAAGUGUAGAUUUGCCACUAUGAAAUUGGAACGUAGAUGGCUCGUGAGUCAUUGCCGGCACCUUCUCACUGAAACAACAACCUCAUAAUUUUAAAUAAUAAAUACAUUCUCAUCAAUACAAAACCGAUAACAUUUUCAGACUGUGUGCGCUUGCUUGUUUCAAUUUGCGAAUAUUAAUUGAGAUAAAUACCAAACGAGAAACCAGUUACUUAUCAUAGACAGCGACAGCAGGCUCUCAGUGCAGCACUUCGCCGACAUUAAAAACGCGUGCAGCGGUGCUUAACAAUCGAGAACCAGUAAGAAAAAUAUUAAAAUGAUAAAAUGUAAUGAGUAAAAAAAAAAAAAUGAACCUGAAAACCGGUGUAAAAAUCGUAUCUGCGUAAUACUCGUAUCAUCAGACAAAAUGGAUUCGAUUUCACCUGUGCCACAAUGUUUACACACUUAAGCGCAUACUUACGUACUUACUGACAAGUGUUUACUUUUCAAGAAUUAUUUGGAAGUAAUCACACAGAAAGAAGAAGAAACAGGUGGUUUAUUAAAUAUAAAAUUGUCGAAAUUUUGUAAUAAAAAUUGUAAUAAAAAUAAACAGUAAGGAAGGGUUGAGUUCGGGUGUAGCCGAUUAUUUAAUACUCUCGCCACCGAUAUUUUCGGUAUAAAGUUCACCGGAAUCCGUAUAUGAGGUAUAUGGGGCUACAGGAAGUUUUCACACUUGUUGUUGUGUAUAACAGGACCGUUAUACUUCAGAGAUCGACGGUAAUAUCAUAAAAUAAACAAAAUUUAAGCAAAACUCUCUUUGCCAAUGGACACUACUAUUUAAUUGCUCGCAACUGUAUGUAAUAAAAAUAUUUAAAAAACUAAUAAUCUUAUCAUUAUCGAAUCAUGACAAUUGAAAUAAUGAAUAAUAUUUUAAUUACUAAAAAAAAUUGUAUUAAACAAUGUACAAAAUAAUUAAUAAAUAAUAUUUUAACUACAAAAAUAAGAAAAUUAUGAACACAGUUUUAUCACAGCCAAUUUCGUUGUAAUAGCAGUCAUAAAUUCUACAAAGCGAUGACUACUCAAUUUAUAUAAGAAACGUCAUUUUAUAUUACAUAAUGCAAAAGGUUCAAUAAACUCUUCGCCCAAAGCAAUAUUCACUUUCAUUUAUGACACUUCAUUUUAAGUCUCUUGUCAACUGAAAAUCGCCUACGCAUCUUCGCUGUAAAAAAAUAUUUAAUGGAGAGAAAUUAUGUAAACAAUGGUUCAAUGAGACAUCUUCGGUUGUCAGCGCACUGCAGGCAGCAGGUAACAUGCAAAAUGAAGUAGGAACACUGAUACAGCAUGGUACUAUAAUAUAUAAUAUUUAAUUUAAUUCCAUAAGUAAAUGUCGUUGAACUCAAGAAGAGAUAUGAAGCACCGCCCAUCUCUCCACGACAUAAUUAAGUGUAGGUUAAUGAUAUUAAUGUGUUCCUCAUGUCGCUGAUUACGCGACUCCGAAAACCCCCUAGUAACAAAUUUCAAGCGAUUCCGAUGAAGUUGUGGAAACGCUGUCCGCCACUUUGGUUUUCUGGGGCUAUGUCAAAACCCUGAUCUAAUGAGGUUAAAUGGACCUCGGAAUCGGAUUCAGCGAGCCCAAAACCAUAAGGCACACAUAGGUCGUGACAAACAUUUUUUUGGCUGUGUAAUAUAAGGGAUUUAUAUAUUUAAUUUUAGACCAUCGGUAAGCCCUCAAAAAUUUAGUUUAUAUGGAUCUAUGUGUGAGAAACUAAAGUUAGCUUAGAUCCGAUGCGAUCCGAGGAUGCGAAAAAAAUUUGGAACUUUAGCAAAUCUACCGAGUUGUUGACUGGUGCUUAGUUUGGACUCACUUGAGAGAAAGAUGACUGUAAUAAUAGCUAUGGAGCGGCAGCUGGCAGACAAGAUUUAUUGUUUCCUCCCCCUUUAACCAAUCAUCAAGCUCAGCUUUCGUGAAUUCCAUUGCAAUUGGGAACCCAGAACUCAUAGUAUGGAGCUUUUGCCUUUUGUUGUAUAAGAAACAGAGGAAGAGGAGGAGG
Molecule: long non-coding RNA, 2510 nt
Organism: Zeugodacus cucurbitae (melon fly)
Lineage: Eukaryota; Metazoa; Arthropoda; Insecta; Diptera; Tephritidae
Exons: 3
Source: RefSeq, a predicted model, not a curated record